UCCCAGUUCGAGCGCUGCAGCCACUUCUUCCAGAUGAAAAACAUCUCCUUCUGCGGGUGCCACCCCCGGAACAGCUGCUACUUCGGGUUCAUCACCAAGCACCCGGUGCUGAGCCGCUUCGCCUGCCACGUGUUCGUGUCCCAGGAGUCCAUGAGACACGUGGCCGAGUGUGUCGGCCGAGCAUUUCAGGAAUAUUACCAGGAGCACCUGGAAUACGCCUGCCCCACAGAGGACAUCUACCUGGAGUAGGG
Long non-coding RNA from Corapipo altera (White-ruffed manakin), 251 nucleotides. RefSeq lists it as uncharacterized. The transcript has 3 exons. The record is from RefSeq and is a predicted model, not a curated record. Lineage: Eukaryota; Metazoa; Chordata; Aves; Passeriformes; Pipridae.